Molecule: non-coding RNA, 1603 nt
Organism: Pimephales promelas (fathead minnow)
Lineage: Eukaryota; Metazoa; Chordata; Actinopteri; Cypriniformes; Leuciscidae
Source: RefSeq, a predicted model, not a curated record
UAUGGGGACAUUUUGAAUUAUGGGGACAUGACCGGUGUCCUCAUAAUUCUAACAGUGUAGAAGUGCUUCUAUACCUAGAGGGAGCUCAAAUCCAAAAUUUCUCCACAAGUCCCCAUAGUUCACAUUUACAUGAUUUUGUGUAAAACGUGUGUAUCGAGACAGUGCCCCUGUAGGUGGGUCUGGGGUACUGCACCUCCUCAUGAAUAUUCACACUUGUGUAUGAAAUCGCAGUUUGUGAUUGGCUGUGACCGCCGGAAGUCCUCAUAAUUUCGGGUUUUGUCAGACCACUGUGUUAAUGUGUUUACCUCACACGAGUUAAUGCAGUUUACUAACUAUUUAAACAUUAUUGUUUUAUAAUUUAUCAAUUGUCAAUGAAAUAUAUAAAUGCAGAGUGACCCUGCAAUGAUAAAUAAUCCGUAAAUAUCAUAUUAUGAAAAAUGAAAAUAGCUUGAAAGCUGUUCGCAAUCAGUUUAAUGGAGAAACGCGACCCUAACCACACUAUUAACUGCUAUAUCAUAGACUAUAUCAUAGAUGGCUAUUUACAUACAUAAUGGUAUUAUUAUUCUACAAUAUCGUUUAUUAUAAUCCAUAUGGUCUAAUAAUCAUAGUUUAGCGUCGCGUUUAUUUCCUGUUUGGACCGGGUGGAAACUGCAGCUGAGAAGACACCUGUGAUUUGGACCUGUUUAAAGCAACUAUUACUGGAAAGCAGACACUCUGAGAGCCCAAGCCACUGGAUGAGGCGUAGUUUUCACUUCAGAACAAAGACAGAUUCAUCAAUGAUUUUAAAGGGAGAGGAGUGUUCAGUUGCUCUGAGUUUCAUAAGGGAGAUUUCCUGCUUGAAUAUGGAGGAGACUAAGAAAAGAAGAAGAACGAGAGCGAAGGCAAAGAGUAUCUCAUCAUGACGAGUUUCAUUACGAUGGAAAACUCCUCUGUGUUGAUCAGCCCGAGAUGACGGUUCCCUUGGUUGACCAUAUGAACCCGACCUGCAGGAUGAAGACUAUCGCUGUGGAUGGAAAACCUCAGCUAUGCUUGUUUGCUCCAAACAAUGAAGAGAUCACAUAUAAUCAUGGUGAUCCUGAGUGGCCAAGUGAUGCACGAUGAGCCAUUUGAAAACUCACAUGGCUGAAGUUGGGGUGAUCUCGGGAGGCGAUACCUUCAGACUGACGGCAGGAGAUGAGAUCAGAAUGACUGGAUGCCAGUAAUCCUGAUGAAAGCCAUCCUGAGGAUGAUCAUUUCUCCAAUGCUUUUGAUCUGCUGUACAGCACUCGAUGAAAAUCACUGUAUUUCUGGAAAGCGGCUUUAAUACAAUCUGUAUAUUAAAAAGCGCUAUUUAAAUAAAGGUGAAUUGACCGCAAUCUCUUUAAUUUGUUUCCAACUAUUUUUAUUACUAUUUAUGUUUAUGAAAUAGUAAUAAAAAUAUCUGAAAACAAAUUAAAGACAUCUAUCUAAAUGAAUUCCAUCUCUUUGCAUUUUACAGUUGUUGUUGUUGUUGUUUUUCUUUUCACACAAGACAGAUUGUAGUGUACCUUGAGAUUUAUGUAAAAUUGUCAGGCCAACAACUAAUGUUGACAACAAGCACUAAUAAACUCUGCUCCUUGCACAA